This 200-nucleotide unclassified non-coding RNA is filed under the name Chloridium sp. RNAcentral's name for it is "partial internal transcribed spacer 2". The record is from RNAcentral. Lineage: Eukaryota; Fungi; Ascomycota; Sordariomycetes; Chaetosphaeriales; Chaetosphaeriaceae.
UUAAGUUCAGCGGGUAUUCCUACCUGAUUCGAGGUCAACAAUUAAAAAAGGGGGGUUUUCCGGCUGGACAACGUCCCACGCCCAAAACGAAAUAUAACUACUACGUUCGGUUGUGUUACGCCGCCGCCGCUCGCUUUGGGAGGCUGCAGUGCAGUCCUCCAACGCCAGGCAGGGCCUGAGGGUUGAAAUGACGCUCGAAC